CUCACUGACCUAGAUCAAAAAUUCUGUCAAUUUUGGGGGCUUAAAACUAUUACCGAAGCUUCAAACAAGGCGUUUUUAAAACGUUUUGUGGUAGCAGAACCUUCCGUAUAUUGUAAAAGUUUUAGUGUAAACUAAAAUGAAAAUACCGGAAGUGAGAAUACUUGCAUGAGUAGCAUAAAACAAUGAUAAACAUUGUAGCCGUAAGUCCAAGGUUUCCAAUCUAAAGUAAAACUGGGUUGGUAGAAGUCUCGACUUCUAUAAAAACGGUCCCUAAGCUAGCAAGCCAAAGCUUGCAGUGAUGGGUAAGAUUAAACUGUGAUAAGUUACUGACGAAAAAUUCACUUUAUUUUUAAAUAAAUUAAAAGUAAAUUAU
Molecule: ribosomal RNA, 373 nt
Filed under: Fucus distichus
Lineage: Eukaryota; Phaeophyceae; Fucales; Fucaceae
Description: partial 23S ribosomal RNA
Rfam family: Bacterial large subunit ribosomal RNA
Source: RNAcentral